RNAcentral lists this long non-coding RNA (209 nucleotides) under Elaeis guineensis (African oil palm). RNAcentral describes it as "long non-coding RNA (EGUI_LNC053171)". Lineage: Eukaryota; Viridiplantae; Streptophyta; Magnoliopsida; Arecales; Arecaceae. The record is from RNAcentral.
GAUAGAUAAGUAGUCUUAUAUUAUUCAUGAGAUUGAGUUCAGAAAGCCAUGGUCAUGACAGAGUGAAUGAUGGAAAAGAAUUUCAUAGGAUUUCACUUAUGAACUCGAGUCGAUUGAAUAUUACAUAUGACAAAUAAUGAGGUUUGACGAGUUAUCCAUGACCUCCAUCUUAUCGAAACUUAUGAUAGAAAGACUGAAUCACAUGAUAA